AUUAAACGCUGGCGGCAUGCCUUACACAUGCAAGUCGAACGGUAGCGCGGGGCAACCUGGCGACGAGUGGCGAACGGGUGAGUAAAGCAUCGGAACGUGCCCUGGAAUGGGGGAUAACGUAGCGAAAGUUACGCUAAUACCGCAUAUUCUGUGAGCAGGAAAGCAGGGAAUCGCAAGACCUUGCGUUCUGGGAGCGGCCGAUGUCGGAUUAGCUAGUUGGUGGGGUAAAAGCCUACCAAGGCGACGAUCCGUAGCGGGUCUGAGAGGAUGAUCCGCCACACUGGGACUGAGACACGGCCCAGACUCCUACGGGAGGCAGCAGUGGGGAAUUUUGGACAAUGGGCGGAAGCCUGAUCCAGCCAUGCCGCGUGAGUGAAGAAGGCC
This 384-nucleotide ribosomal RNA is filed under the name uncultured bacterium. RNAcentral's name for it is "bacterial SSU rRNA". It matches the Rfam family "Bacterial small subunit ribosomal RNA", at positions 29 to 416 of the family's 1533-position model. The record is from RNAcentral.